RNAcentral lists this non-coding RNA (40 nucleotides) under Trypanosoma brucei brucei. Lineage: Eukaryota; Euglenozoa; Kinetoplastea; Trypanosomatida; Trypanosomatidae. The record is from RNAcentral.
AUAAAUCCCAACAGAUAGAAUAGCCAGUAUAUGAUGAUAU